This 460-nucleotide ribosomal RNA is filed under the name uncultured bacterium. RNAcentral describes it as "partial 16S ribosomal RNA". It matches the Rfam family "Bacterial small subunit ribosomal RNA", at positions 338 to 795 of the family's 1533-position model. The record is from RNAcentral.
CCUACGGGGGGCAGCAGUGAGGAAUAUUGGUCAAUGGACGAGAGUCUGAACCAGCCAAGUAGCGUGAAGGAUGACUGCCCUAUGGGUUGUAAACUUCUUUUAUAAAGGAAUAAAACGAGGCACGUGUGCCUUUUUGCAUGUACUUUAUGAAUAAGGAUCGGCUAACUCCGUGCCAGCAGCCGCGGUAAUACGGAGGAUCCGAGCGUUAUCCGGAUUUAUUGGGUUUAAAGGGAGCGUAGAUGGGUUGUUAAGUCAGUUGUGAAAGUUUGCGGAUCAACCGUAAAAUUGCAAUUGAUACUGGCAGUCGUGAGUACAGUUGAGGUAGGCGGAAUUCGUGGUGUAGCGGUGAAAUGCUUAGAUAUCACGAAGAACCCCGAUUGCGAAGGCAGCUUACUAAACUGUGACUGACAUUGAUGCUCGAAAGUGUGGGUAUCAAACAGGAUUAGAUACCCCAGUAGUC